Molecule: ribosomal RNA, 432 nt
Filed under: uncultured bacterium
Lineage: Bacteria
Description: bacterial SSU rRNA
Rfam family: Bacterial small subunit ribosomal RNA
Source: RNAcentral
AGCGAACGCUGGCGGCAGGCCUAACACAUGCAAGUCGAACGCACCUUCGGGUGAGUGGCGGACGGGUGAGUAACACGUGGGAACGUACCUUUAGGUUCGGAACAACUCAGGGAAACUUGAGCUAAUACCGGAUAAGCCCUUCGGGGGAAAGAUUUAUCGCCUUUAGAGCGGCCCGCGUUAGAUUAGGUAGUUGGUGAGGCAACGGCUCACCAAGCCGACGAUCAGUAGCCGGACUGAGAGGUUGAACGGCCACAUUGGAACUGAGAAACGGUCCAGACUCCUACGGGAGGCAGCAGUGGGGAAUAUUGGGCAAUGGGCGAAAGCCUGACCCAGCGACGCCGCGUGAGGGAAGAAGGUCUUCGGAUUGUAAACCUCUGUUGACAGGGACGAAGCAUGACGGUACCUGUCGAGGAAGCCACGGCUAACUACGUG